AUUUUGUUACCAUUGUCUUCCUUUGUUUAGAAAAAAUCUAUCUGGAACUUUCAAAAGUGAAUGGACACAUUCUACUGAUUGUAAAGUUCUGCCCAACACAAUUAUUUCUAAGCCAUUACAGACAUCUGGAGACCCCUCACACCUCUUUCUGAGUGAACUGCAGCGGACCCCACAUCAUAUAUUCUUGUUCAGUGUCGGGAAAAUAACGGCUACAGGCAGAAACCAGAUCUGAGGCUUUCAGACGAGUGCUCUGGCACUGAGGUAAAACAGAAGGCAUUGCAGAUUUCUGUUCCUGAUAACUACCGAGUACAUGCUGAAGAGAAACCAAACCUGAACUGCAAUAAUUGACCGGGGAAAUUCUCACUGGGAAGAUGCUACACUGACUAAUCUGUGAGCAAGAUUUAUAAAUGAAAGGCUCUAAAACUGCCUGAGGUUUACUAUAAAGAGUGAGGCAUUACUUUUUUUUCAAAGGAAACCAAUUUGCUGAGGGCUGCUUUGUGCAGUUGAAGGGGUGCUUCUUUUAGUAGCAUCACAAAUUAGAGCUGCCAUUGGAGAAAUAGAGGUGUAUUGAUAGCAAGCAGGUGGCUCUUGUUCCAAGGAGAUUUGUUUGGUACCAUUUUAUGAUUGAGCUGAUGCUGUGACAUAUUAAGUGGAGCUUGUCAUUCUCCCAUCUGGUCUACACAACUGCUGGAGGCGGAACCCAUUUAGGAAGUUGCACAUUUCUUGCAGAUGUUCCUGAACGUUUCAUAAAUAACUAACAGAAACCACUGAUUCAUUUGGCUUUAUUAAACCUAUCUUAGGGGAAUCAUGUCAUUGUUCAUGGAGAAAAUUGUAUGUGUUGCUUGGCAUUUAAGAAACUUAUUAUCAAAUUACAGCACUUUAAAGCCUUACUUGGUGCUAAUGGGAAAAUUGUAAAGUACAGAUCAGGACUUCUUUCGGCCUGAUUAUAAUUUAUGUAAAUGACUGCACUUGAUAAAGAGUCCUUCAUGCUAAGUAAAAUGCUUUUUGCCUGUGGAACC
This 1019-nucleotide long non-coding RNA is filed under the name Anser brachyrhynchus (Pink-footed goose). RNAcentral describes it as "lncRNA (ENSABRG00000020061.1)". The record is from RNAcentral. Lineage: Eukaryota; Metazoa; Chordata; Aves; Anseriformes; Anatidae.